AGCUGACGAGUCCCAAAUAGGACGAAAUGGGCAUCCU
RNAcentral lists this non-coding RNA (37 nucleotides) under Trichobilharzia regenti. Lineage: Eukaryota; Metazoa; Platyhelminthes; Trematoda; Strigeidida; Schistosomatidae. The record is from RNAcentral.